CUGCUGCUGUUGUUGUUGUUGUUGUUGACAGGCGGAGGAGUCCCGCUGCUUACUGCUAGCUAACCCACCGUGAACGUUAGCUGUUUGUGUUCAUGGUCUCCGGACAGAAGAGUUCAAAGAGCUCGGUGCCCUUUGGCGUUUCAUGUGGGACAGUGAGUGGACAGAGACGGGAGGAGACGGGAGGAGACAGUGUGCUGUCAGUCACUCUCCGCUGGUUCAGGCAAAUUACACUCGUGACGUCACGCCGUACCAUAAACAAUCCGAGCUCACGAGAGCAUCCAUUUCACUGCUUCAUUAGCGAGAGUUUUUAUUUGUUUCAACUAAAAAACAUUUCCUGACCCACCCGCUGUAAACAGAGGAUACAUAAUGUGUUGGUUUUAUUAAGGAAUCUUUUUUCUUGCUUCUCUUUGCCUGGUGGAAACAAAGAUGAUGUCAUGAUGGUCACAAGUUAUUCUAAUAAAGCUCCUAAAAAUCUAUAAACUUAGACAAAUGAUUAAAUAAGAGUCAUCUGUCUCCCUCAAGUGGACAUCCACUAUAGGACAGUGAAUUAAUAACUGGUUAACACAAGAAUAAUUAAGCUCCCUCAGCAACAGGUGGCACCACCUCCUCUGCUGAUGGAGCAGAGUGGCAGGAGUGGCAGUGCUUGGCCUCAUGUACAGGAGCCUCUGUUGUAGACUCUGGUUCAGAAGCUGAAAGGACCUCCAGGUCUGACCCAGAGGAGGCCGCUGCCAGCUGAAUCGUGUCCACAACUGCUGCAGCUUCCCCGUCUGUUUCCACAGCUUCUACCUUCUCCUCUGCCGGAGCUUCGGCAGCUGUCUCCUCCACUGAUGUCUCAGCAGGAGCCGUUGCUUCAGCAGUGGUGGUGGCCUCCUCUGGAGCAGCUCCAGUCUGAUCUUCAGCCUCAUCCUCACCCACCUCCUCCACUGUUGGAGCUGAAGUCGUAGGUUCCUCAGGAAGUGCUGCCUCCUCCUCCUCCCCUUCCUCCACUGUUGCUGCUACAGGAGCAGAUGUCUCCUCUUCAGCAGGUGGAGCUCCUGCAUCUUCUGCAUCAACCUCUGCAGACUUCAGCUCCUCCUCGUUCACUACAACAGUCGGCUCUUCAGUCACUUCUUUAGCCACCACCUCUGUGGUUGCUUCCAGGACUUCUGGCUCCACCACCUCCAGUGAGGAGUCCAAACCUUUUCCAUCUUCCUCUAUUUUCCGGACAGCUUCCACCAGACUUGUCUCACCAACAGAGGCUGCUGCAAUCUCAACUGUGGAGCCGGUCAAAAUCUUCACAGCUGUUAGCAGGUCUGGCAUAGAUUCUGAAGGACAGAAGGAGGACAGGAAGUAGUGGCUUAGAGAAAUUUGAAAUAUAUUACAGAUAAAAGUUUGCACAUUGCAGCAGCAGUAUAAAGGAGCUCCAUGUGCAACAACCAUAACUGUGCAUUUGAGUUCUGAAACAAUUUCAGUCAAUUGAUUCUUUGAAAGACUAAUUAGUUUAAGUUAGUUAAUCAAACAAAAAUGCCAAAUAUUUUCUUGUUCCAUCCAGCUUUUGAGAUGUGAGGAUUUGCUGAUUUUCUUUUAAAUCAAGUUGAAUCUUUGGGUUUUUGACAGUUUGAACACUUCACACUGUUGAAAACUUGUCAUUUUUGACAUUUCAUGCACUGCACAAUUAAUUGCUCAAAACAAAUAAUUGACAAGUUGACCAAUAAUAAAAAUAAAGGUGUUACAGUACUGGUGAAUUCCCUCACAUAAAACCUGGAUUACAUGUUAACUAUUUUCUAAUUUACCUUUACAUACGAGGCAUGUGCAGCUCUUCAGAAAUUUAUUAGAUUUAUAUAAGAUUUAUUCUAGUAUAUAGUGGUUUGCUGUGUGGUUUUGUAUAAACUGAACUUACCUUGAGGGGGUGUCUAUCACGGAAAGGUCUACAGUCAGCUCAGGUUCAGGAAAUACUGUACAGGAGACAACUUGCCCCAGUUCAUGCUCCUUCUGCUGGUGUAACUUUAGAAAACGGUGUGAAACAUGGCUCUUGAAAAACUUCCUACUGUGGGUAGAGUAUAGUAGAAUAUGUGGUGAGCCCUCUUAACACUGUUGGAGAGAAUAGGCCUUUUUCACAGCAGCAUGAAAACAUGCAACAGUAGGGUAAACACAGGUGAUGAUACUGAUUAAGGAUCUGUUCCAUUCAGGUCAAACAGAGUCAGGGUGCUGCUAUCGUGCAUGUUGGCAGAACAGAACCUUAAUUAGUAUUAUUAGUAACACCUGUUUACCAUUUUUUGUUUGAAUGGCUACUAUGAAAAAGGUCUAUUGUUUGACAUCUUUAAGAUUUAAUACAAAAGCUUUAAGUAAUGUUUAGACGUGGAUACAGCCUCGAUGGACAUUCUUAGAAAGACAAUUUUCAAAAAAUGUUGUUGCGUGGCAUUUAUGUGUUAGACAGUAACAUCCCUGGGUUGCCACCAACAAUGAGCCAACCCAUGAGCCAACCCAUGAGCCUGUAAACACCCCAUUCUGGCGAGCCACCAGGACACCCUAAAACAAGCAUUGUAAUCUAGGAUUAGUUUUAACUAGUCUGCGAGACUGCUUCAAACUGGACCUGUUACAAUUAAAGGCCAAUAUACAUUUUUGCAUUUUAGAGUGCUGCCUGCAGUUCCCUUCUACGUGGUGUGCAACAUUAUGACUAGGUUUAUGCAGAUCAGUAUUUUACAUACACCUAGAAGAGGAUAGGUGAGUAGAUUUUUAUGUUGUAUGAUUGCUUAUGUUUCAGUUAAAUCUCACCACAUUUAUGCCAGAGUGGUAAUGUGGUCAUCAUAACGAGAAACAAGCAGUAUCUUUAAGAACGCAGUAUUGAGAACAAAAACAGUCUUCAGAUGGUUGUUUCAAUCUUCAUCUUGAGAGCGCAGGAGCAUGAACGUGGCACAGGGAUUCUCCAGGAAAGGGAGAAUUUCUACAGGAAGUGGGUGUUUCUACAUCUACAAAAAACAUUUACUGUGUCACAUUCUACAUUCAAAACAAGCAGCUAAGAGUCGCUGAAUAAACUCACGGCCCGGACAGAUUAGACAACCUACUCUGAAACAGUUAUUCUAUAACCUGCAGAAUUUGAUAAAUGCAAACACUGGAAAAAAUAUAAAAGUUUUAAUCUUAUAUACAGUACUUUAAAAAAAAAAAAGCAAAACGUCAUCUUUAUAAUCGAUCCAGUGAGGUUUUAUUCUUUGAACACUUAACUGUAUUAAUCAUAAUGACAACUUCUCAGAGACAGAGGUGAAUGAAUUGUCACAUUUAAAAUGUAAAGACAGAGCAGAAGUGAGUUUAACACUACAAAGUCUUGUACAUGGCUGGAGUGGGCGCAGGCUGCUGUAGAUGUAAGUAGAGAGGUUGUAAUAAUGAAAAUAAAACUGAAUGUGCAAGAAAAGAAAAAAAAGAAUAUGGGUUGUUAUGAGUAGAAAAGAAGAAAGAA
Morone saxatilis (striped sea-bass) is the source of this 3433-nucleotide long non-coding RNA. RefSeq lists it as uncharacterized. The transcript is spliced from 2 exons. NCBI's taxonomy places the organism in Eukaryota, Metazoa, Chordata, Actinopteri, Moronidae. The record is from RefSeq and is a predicted model, not a curated record.